AAAGUGCGAUAAGCAAUGCGAAUUGCAGAAUUCCGCGAAUCAUCAGAUCCUUGAACGCAACUGGCGCUAGGGGGCUCUCCUCCUAGCAUGUCUGUUUCAGUGUCUGAAAACAUCAUAAAUUAACUUAAUGUGGUUGAUGACGGAAAAAAAGAAGAAUUUAUCUUCUUCUCUCUUUCUCGAAAUCUUCCAUGAAAGAUGUACAUGUGGGUCUUUGGACUCCUCAUCGAAUUGGUCACUGUCUCUUCAGUGAUUUCGAUAGGAGAAAAAAACUUUUGUAAAAAAGAAAUCCAAUUACCUAAAUACAUGUAGAAAUUCUCUUCUAACUUCAAACUCUGCAUCUGAAAUCAGGCAAGAACACCCGCUGAACUUAA
This 371-nucleotide unclassified non-coding RNA is filed under the name uncultured fungus. RNAcentral describes it as "sequence contains ITS1". The stretch from base 1 to 105 matches the Rfam family "5.8S ribosomal RNA", at positions 50 to 154 of the family's 154-position model. The record is from RNAcentral. Lineage: Eukaryota; Fungi.